GGAUGAACGCUGGCGGCGUGCCUAAUACAUGCAAGUCGAGCGAACAGACGAGGAGCUUGCUCCUUUGACGUUAGCGGCGGGCGGGUGAGUAACACGUGGGUAACCUACCUAUAAGACUGGGAUAACUUCGGGAAACCGGAGCUAAUACCGGAUAAUAUUUCGAACCGCAUGGUUCGAUAGUGAAAGAUGGCUCUGCUAUCACUUAUAGAUGGACCUGCGCCGUAUUAGCUAGUUGGUAAGGUAACGGCUUACCAAGGCAACGAUACGUAGCCGACCUGAGAGGGUGAUCGGCCACACUGGAACUGAGACACGGUCCAGACUCCUACGGGAGGCAGCAGUAGGGAAUCUUCCGCAAUGGGCGAAAGCCUGACGGAGCAACGCCGCGUGAGUGAUGAAGGUCUUCGGAUCGUAAAACUCUGUUAUUAGGGAAGAACAAACGUGUAAGUAACUGUGCACGUCUUGACGGUACCUAAUCAGAAAGCCACGGCUAACUACGUG
RNAcentral lists this ribosomal RNA (498 nucleotides) under uncultured bacterium. Its description in RNAcentral is "partial 16S ribosomal RNA". It matches the Rfam family "Bacterial small subunit ribosomal RNA", at positions 27 to 507 of the family's 1533-position model. The record is from RNAcentral.